AGUUACCAAAAUGCCCUUACCUCUUGUGUAAUUUUAGAAAAUAUCUAUAGGGUUUCUUGUAAUUUUCCCUAAUAAACAUUAUCUCUUUAAAUUUCUUUCCCUGGUCGGUCAAGAACAGAGCACGAGGGGAGAGAGGGAGAGAAAUUCUGGGUCUAGAAAUUUCGAGCUUCUCUGUCUUCUCCAUCGGUCUUCCUCAUCCUUCCUUCUCCAAUGUUCUUCCCGUGUCACCGGCGAUCGUGGAUGCUCAGCACUGCCUUGCAAAAAUGCCCAGUGUGUCUCUGUAGGUGCUGCCAUUAGCGAGUCCUUCUUCAUGCUCUCUGCCUCUGUUCCUUUUCUUUUUCGUGCUGCUGUUCUAUCUUGCUGUGCACAUCUGGGUCGUUGGCUGAUGGAAGAAAUCAGGUCGCUGGAGUGGGUGUACUGAUCGCCAAUCCGAAUCAGCGCUGAGUUCCUUUUUCUUCUCCCCCUUGGUUUCUUCCUCCUUUAUUUUGUUCGUUUGUGGUUGGGAAGUGAAGGAAGAGCUGAUAUGGUGCUGUGGAAGGAUUAAUUUGUGGGUUGAGGCAGAAAUAUUGCUAUAUUCUUCUUCCCCUGUUCAGUUGUGGAUUCAGUUUUCUUCCUCCCUCUGUGUGUGUGCACUGUCGGCUAACUAAGGAUGCUAAGAGAAAGGAGGAGUUGAUUGAAGUUCUAAGAAAUGAAUUUUGAUGCUCGGGCAUAUUAUAGAUAGCAUAAUUGACGCUGUACGUCUUACUUACCAAUGACGGAUGUUUUCGGAGUGGAGGCUUGCUUUGUAAACAUGGCUUAUUGAUGUAAAUAUGAAAUUUAUGUAUUAUGUCAUGAGAUAUAUGAUUAGGUGCUCCACAUAACUUAUAAUUAAAAUCCUUAGUUUAUUAUACAUUUUGUCUGCUGGCUUGAAGGAGCCGAGUUCUUGAUAGAUAUAAUGUUUGAGGAAAAUUUUUAUGAUACAGAAUUUUUGGUAGAUCUUAUUUACAAAGAUGGUUCUGUUAAAAUUUUUACGAGAUGUUGAAAUAAUUAGUAGUAAUAGUAUUAAAAUGUUAGUGAAUAAUUGAGUACUUUUUUUUGUAAUUAAAUGAAAUAAACCUUGAAUUUGUGGCUUACGGGAUGUAUGUGUGGUUCGCAUC
Molecule: long non-coding RNA, 1136 nt
Organism: Prosopis cineraria
Lineage: Eukaryota; Viridiplantae; Streptophyta; Magnoliopsida; Fabales; Fabaceae
Exons: 5
Source: RefSeq, a predicted model, not a curated record